RNAcentral lists this long non-coding RNA (577 nucleotides) under Trifolium pratense (red clover). RNAcentral describes it as "long non-coding RNA (TPRA_LNC010011)". Lineage: Eukaryota; Viridiplantae; Streptophyta; Magnoliopsida; Fabales; Fabaceae. The record is from RNAcentral.
AAAAAGCAACAGAAAAAAAAAAAGAAGCAAAUAAACAGAGUAUAGAAAGUAAGAUCGAACCUGAGAAAAGAAGGAGAAAGAAGCUCCGUCACUGCCGUCACCGCCGUGUUACCGCGAAACGCCACCGGAACUCUUUAUCUCGGUCGGAACACUCUCUUCCUCGGUCGGAACUCUUUGCCUCCCGCCGGCAAAUCUUCUCUCUCGGCCACUCCCUCACAGGUGGUGGUGGUGGUGGUUGUUGUUGUGAUUGUGAAGGACAAGAUGGAAAGGGCGAGAGAAAGAGUUUGAGAAUGUUGAGGGUAUAGGAUUGGGGAAUAGAUAGAUGAAUCUGUGGGCUGAACCUCUGUCCUCAUUGACUUAGUUUACUUGCUUCACUUAGUUUACUUGCUGCCAUCUUGUGUUUAGUGGAGCUCUUCAAUUGGUGCAAAGAGAGGUCCAAUAUAAUUGAUGCAGAGUACCAUAUGUUACUUAGUUUACUUGCUGCCAUCUUGUGUUUAGUGGAGCUCUACAAUUGGUGCAAGGAGAGGUCCAAUAUAAUUGAUGCACACUAUCAUAUGUUGGCAAGAUACAAUUGGAC